RNAcentral lists this long non-coding RNA (1873 nucleotides) under Panax ginseng (ginseng). Its description in RNAcentral is "long non-coding RNA (PGIN_LNC005143)". Lineage: Eukaryota; Viridiplantae; Streptophyta; Magnoliopsida; Apiales; Araliaceae. The record is from RNAcentral.
CUUAGCAACCAAGUCUGAUAAUUAACAAAGAGGUUGGGAAUGCUAGACUAGACUAUUAUCAGUUACAAAUAAACCCAAUUCUCAGCCCUCACUUUUUUCUCCCAUCCGUUCCAUUCUUCUUCCUCUCCCAAAUUGCUAUGCUCUCUCCAUAAACAAAGAAACUACAUAAACUCUUUAGGAAUUGAAAUUAGCAAUUGAAGUGAAGGGAGUAUUGCAUCAAAUUGCUGUUAAGGGAUAUUGAAUUCAAUCAACAAGAAGUUUGGAGCAAGGAUUGAAACAAGAAUUCAAAUAAGAACAUCAAACAAGAGGUAUUAACCUUUAUUUGUUAAAGUUCAUAAAAAUUAGAGUAUUAAUGUCUUAUAUUUAUAAAAUUGUUGUGCUUGGACUAUGAGAAUUGAUGUGAUAUAGAUGGUAAGUGAUGCUUGGAGUGAUAAGGAUGAAGAAUUUCGAAAAUUCUUGCUAAACCAUGUUUAAAAGCUUGUGAAAACUAGAAAUUUAUUUGUGUGCAAGGUAUUUCGAAAAUUCUUGCUAAACCAUGUUUAAAAGCUUGUGCAAGGUAUUUAAAAAUCGAAAAUUAAGCAAAGCUUUUUAUAUAUGUAUUAUGAUGUUAACUAAGUUGAUUGAGUGAAUCAAAUCAAGCUCAAAUCACGUUUUAAAGAAUUUCUAAAAACUUGAAUUGAAUGAAAAACUGAGAUGAGGGGGCAUAUUGGAGCUUCUGUAAUAUCAUCUUAAUGAACCCAAAUUGUUCAUGCUAUAUUUUUAUAAAAUAGUAUGUAGUACCAAGUAUAAUAUAUCAAAAUUUGGAAGCAAUUGGAUUAGUAGAUUGUGAGAUAUAAAAUCACAAAGUAGCCAAGAAAUAACAAAACAAUCUGGAAAUCUGGGCAGCCCCAUGUUCCAGAUUUUGGGAAAAAGCACAUUUACCUCAUUGUGGUCGUCGUGUUUUAAGAAAUUAACCACUGUACUUUAAAAAAAAUGCAAUUGACCCACUGUGAUUUUUAAAAAUGCUUAGUUGGACCAUUCUGUCAAAUUUUUUGGACGGACUUUACAUUCUAUCUUCUAUUUUCAUACUUAGCUUUUUAAAAAAAAUAAAAAACAAUUAAAUGCUGAUUUGGCUUCCAACUUGAUUUUUUCACUCUUUCCUCUCAUUCAUCUUACCCUCAUCUUUAACCCAGAUCCAAACAAGAAACAACACUUCAAACUCAAAAUUUACAAGUAACAAAAUGAAAUCACAACAAAUAAACAACUAAAAAUAGAAAAACUUGCAAACAAACAAACAAUCUAUUUCGCUAAAUCUGAUUGUUCUCCGAUUAAAUCAAAUCAAAUCUCACCACGAAAAACUUGCAAAUUUUUGGAGAAAAUUCUAAUUCAUGAAAUCAAAGAGAGAAUCAGACAAACCUAACAAGAUUGGAGAAGAAGAAAGUAAGGUAAAAUUCUCCGAUAUUGAGAAUCAGACAUACUUAAUUCUUUUUCAAGCACAUGACUAAACACCCAGUAUGAGAUUGACUUGCCGGAGAAGAUAAAAUAAUCGGAGAAGACAAGCACAUUUGUAUAUCAUAUGUUUGCACACACACACACACACACACACACACACACACACACACAUAUAUAUAUAUAUAUAUAUAUAUGGAAGUAUUUAUGAGCAUGAAUUGAUAAUUGGGGUUCUUUGUUAUUGAUUAGAUGGGAUUAUCGCCAUUAAUGGCGUGAGAAGGAGAGGACCCCAAAACAGAGAAGGGCAAAAUAAUUACAAAGACACAUGAAAAAAGAAGAUAAAAUUAGACUGUAGUGGAGGAAGAUGAUGAGAUGAAGGAUUUGUGGGUAAUGGAAUUAAACCCAGAUCUAAAGGAACUAAUCCAGGUGAAGAAAGAACUCAGAG